This is an RNA transcript of Rattus rattus (black rat), 2741 nucleotides long. It is a transcript of the gene named RNA binding motif single stranded interacting protein 2, with no coding region annotated. The transcript has 12 exons. Lineage: Eukaryota; Metazoa; Chordata; Mammalia; Rodentia; Muridae. The record is from RefSeq and is a predicted model, not a curated record.
UUGUGGCUCAGCAAAUGGCACCUCCGAGUCCAAGGAACGGCACCCCUAGCAGCAGCAGCGGGAGCGGUGGGAACGACCAGCUGAGCAAAACCAACCUGUAUAUCCGAGGGCUGCAGCCGAGCACCACUGACCAGGACCUGGUCAAGCUCUGUCAGCCGUAUGGCAAGAUUGUCUCCACCAAGGCCAUCCUGGACAAGACCACAAACAAGUGCAAAGGCUAUGGCUUCGUGGACUUCGACAGUCCGUCAUCAGCACAGAAGGCUGUAACUGCACUGAAAGCCAGUGGUGUGCAGGCACAAAUGGCAAAGCAACAGGAGCAAGACCCUACAAAUUUAUACAUCUCAAACCUCCCUCUGUCAAUGGACGAGCAGGAGCUGGAGGGGAUGCUGAAGCCCUUUGGCCAGGUUAUCUCCACUCGGAUCCUCCGAGACACCACUGGGGCCAGCAGAGGGGUCGGCUUUGCAAGGAUGGAAUCCACAGAGAAGUGUGAAGCCAUCAUCACCCACUUUAAUGGAAAGUAUAUAAAGACGCCCCCUGGAGUAGCAGCACCUUCUGACCCCUUGCUUUGCAAAUUUGCUGAUGGUGGGCCAAAGAAACGACAGAACCAAGGAAAGUUUAUGCAAAAUGGACGGGCCUGGCCAAGGAACGGAGAUAUGGGUGGAAUGGCCUUGACCUAUGACCCCACCACAGCUCUUCAGAAUGGGUUCUACACAGCUCCUUACAGUCUCGCCCACAGCAGAAUGCUCGCUCAGUCUGCACUAGCCCCGUAUCUUCCAUCUCCCGUGUCUUCCUAUCAGGGCUCAGUUCUGACACCAGGGAUGGACCACCCCCUCUCUCUCCAGCCUGCCUCCAUGAUGGGACCUCUUACUCAGCAACUGGGGCACCUGUCACUCAACAGCCUGGGCACGUUCAUGCCAGCAGCUGCUGCUAUGCAAGGAACUUACAUCUCCCAGUACCCAGCUGUGCCUUCUUCCAGUGUUUCUGUUGAGGAGAGCAAUGGUCAGCAGAGUCAACUGGCAGUGGAGCCCCCCUCAGACCAUGGGGUCUAUCCUUUCCAGUUCAGCAAGUAGUGAGGUCCGGACUUAAGAAGCUUAUGCACUCCUCCUUGGGCUGUUUUCCCAUUGCUGAUGGAACCUGAGAAACCAUGUUGUUUUUCGAAUGUGCUACAUUCAAGAUCAAAAAGACUUUUUUCUUUUGCAAAAGAAGUUUCUUGCUUUGUAUUUAAUUGCAGCGAAACCUUUCUCCUACCCCAAAGACACCAGUUGAGCUGCUUCUCAUCUUCAAGAGGUUUGGCACACAGCUGACUCGGAGCAGGCACUGAGUGUUCUACCACACCAGAGGACCCAGAAAACAGGUCAAGUGGGGAGCCUGACCUACCCAGUCAUUAUCUUAGGGAUGGUAACGACCUCUGCUUCAGGAGACAGACACGGAACCUCCUUGAGUCUUUAUCAAAUGUGGCUUUAUUCAAUGACAAGCACUUUCUACAGCCGCACCUGUGGAACAUCACAUGGCAAAAACCCGGGUUUUUUUUUUUUUUCUCUAGACUUUUUUCCUUUUUUUAAACCUUAUUAAAAAUGAGAUUGGUCCUAAAAAUAUAGAAAGAAAUAAAUUUAAAUUCACAAAAAACUGUACAUUAUCAAAAAGUCACUAAAACACCACAUUUGGUUAUAUAAAAAGUCCCUUUUGUUGUAAAAGGAACAUGGAAACUUGGUGUUGAUGGUUUCUUGCUGUUACUGGGGAGGGGACACAAAGGGCAGGGGAGGGCUGUCUUUUUAUUUUUAACCUGCUUUCCCUACCAAAUACUCUUUGUCAACAAGAGAAAAGUCCACCUAGCUCGAGGGGCAGUGAAGAUGAGGAAAGAAAAGUAUGAGAAAUGGCCCCUUUGAUCACAUCCUGCCCCACAAUCCCUUCAGCCCCCAUUUCUUCAAAUCAAGGCUAGGACCUCCACCUUCAGAGUGCCUGGUCCCUAGGGCAGAGGUGGGGCUGGGAGAGGAGCACACAGCAGAGAGCCCAGGCUCCACUGUCCCUCACCUCAACAACGAAUGACUCCAGUACACUUUAUGCCAGGGGAAACAGUUCCAAACAUCUAACACAAAGUUUGUUACAGCGCAGUUAUUUAGAUAAAAUAUAAAUAUUUAUGCAUAAUAUAAAGUCAAUUCAAAUAUUCUUCAAUCCACCUCUUAUUUAAAAGCAAAAAAAAAAAUUCUCAAAUAAAAUUAAGUUUUGAGGUUUAUCGACAGAAAAGGCGACUUUAGAAGUAGGCAACAGGGAGCGCGGUGAGGGUGGGUUGAGAAGAGUGGGGGCUGCCCAGGAUCCUGCACUGCCCUGCUCUUCAGUACUGCUGGAGUACAAGGAAUGCUUCGCCUCACCUGGCAUCCUCCACCCACCCAUGGAACAUUGCUUGGAUGCCUCAGCUCUCUGCUUAGGCCAGCCAGCAGCCACCUCCCCAGUGCAAGUACCCGUAAUUUCUGAUGGGAGGGGCUUGGCUGAGCAGGAAAGCAGGGGCCAGUGGCCCAUGGCUACAGCUUGGAGUUAGCAGCUGUCCUCUCAUGCUGGGGGCUAAUCUGGGCUUAGUCACACACAGGGCAGUGGUAGACCCAGAUCCUCCUCUCUGCCCAUCCUGUGCUCCAGGGUCUCUGCUGCUGGGGAAGGAAGGGGUCCUGGGAUAUGAAGACAGUGUGAGGAAGGAAAACACAGCUAAACCCAGACACUCAUGGUUUAGGGAAGAUCCAGUUCUACCA